Long non-coding RNA from Schistocerca piceifrons (Central American locust), 403 nucleotides. RefSeq lists it as uncharacterized. The record is from RefSeq and is a predicted model, not a curated record. Lineage: Eukaryota; Metazoa; Arthropoda; Insecta; Orthoptera; Acrididae. The transcript is spliced from 3 exons.
CUAUUUUUGUUCCAGAAGGCGGUAGAAUGUGAGCAUAGAACACGUCACCAGAUGGCGAAAUUUCUAGCAAUUAUUGAUUCGACUUAAUUUCUAUACAACUAUGUUCAAGCAUCGCGGAGGAAUACACAAUACGACUGCGCGAGGGCAACUUAUAUAAAUAUUCGGUAAUCAUGGGCGCUGGUUGAGAUAUAAGAUUUGAGAAGUAGAUGGUAGUGCGUCGGGAGCGAUAGCGUGGUGUUUUUUUUGUGGCAGUGCGGAAGUUGCUGGGCUGAUGAAGAGAACUGGAAGCAAGGAAAGUGUGUUAGGAGGAUUGGGUUUGUUGAGAAUUUGUAACGGUUUUGUUCCUUAAAGAUAUUUACUUGUAUGAAUAAAGUUUCAAAUAAAGACUACAAUUUGUAGCUAA